RNAcentral lists this long non-coding RNA (325 nucleotides) under Cyanistes caeruleus (blue tit). RNAcentral describes it as "lncRNA (ENSCCEG00000021059.1)". Lineage: Eukaryota; Metazoa; Chordata; Aves; Passeriformes; Paridae. The record is from RNAcentral.
AUGCCUGCUCAGUGUUUGGUUGUGGCCUUUGUAUCUGGCUCAGGGAUUAAGUUCUGUCUUGAGUUUGCUUUAAAUGAAAGGAACCUUGGCAUCACUUCAGCAUCACUGUUAGCCACAAGGAGAUGGAGGAUGUACAGAUGAGGACCACAAAUCUGCACCAUAAAAGGGAACUAAAGGCACCAUAAUGCACAGUGAGCUUCUGGAGUUCACAGCUGUACAACACCACCUAAGCCAUCAACUUGGCAAGAUUUUAAACUGGCCUUUUAUACACGUGCAGGAUUCUUCAGAGCCGCAGCAUGAAGUGUGGAAAAGAUGAAUUUGGCAA